AGGAAUAUUGGUCAAUGGACGCGAGUCUGAACCAGCCAAGUAGCGUGAAGGAUGACUGCCCUAUGGGUUGUAAACUUCUUUUAUACGGGAAUAAAGUGAGGCACGUGUGCCUUUUUGUAUGUACCGUAUGAAUAAGGAUCGGCUAACUCCGUGCCAGCAGCCGCGGUAAUACGGAGGAUCCGAGCGUUAUCCGGAUUUAUUGGGUUUAAAGGGAGCGUAGGCGGACGCUUAAGUCAGUUGUGAAAGUUUGCGGCUCAACCGUAAAAUUGCAGUUGAUACUGGGUGUCUUGAGUACAGUAGAGGCAGGCGGAAUUCGUGGUGUAGCGGUGAAAUGCUUAGAUAUCACGAAGAACUCCGAUUGCGAAGGCAGCUUGCUGGACUGUAACUGACGCUGAUGCUCGAAAGUGUGGGUAUCAAACAGGAUUAGAUACCCUGGUAGUCCACACAGUAAACGAUGAAUACUCGCUGUUUGCGAUAUACAGUAAGCGGCCAAGCGAAAGCGUUAAGUAUUCCACCUGGGGAGUACGCCGGCAACGGUGAAACUCAAAGGAAUUGACGGGGGCCCGCACAAGCGGAGGAACAUGUGGUUUAAUUCGAUGAUACGCGAGGAACCUUACCCGGGCUUGAAUUGCAACUGAAUGAUGUGGAGACAUGUCAGCCGCAAGGCAGUUGUGAAGGUGCUGCAUGGUUGUCGUCAGCUCGUGCCGUGAGGUGUCGGCUUAAGUGCCAUAACGAGCGCAACCUUUAUCGAUAGUUACCAUCAGGUUAUGCUGGGGACUCUGUCGAGACUGCCGUCGUAAGAUGUGAGGAAGGUGGGGAUGACGUCAAAUCAGCACGGCCCUUACGUCCGGGGCUACACACGUGUUACAAUGGGGGGUACAGAAGGCAGCUACACGGCGACGUGAUGCUAAUCCCGAAAGCCUCUCUCAGUUCGGAUUGGAGUCUGCAACCCGACUCCAUGAAGCUGGAUUCGCUAGUAAUCGCGCAUCAGCCACGGCGCGGUGAAUACGUUCCCG
This 1016-nucleotide ribosomal RNA is filed under the name uncultured bacterium. RNAcentral describes it as "bacterial SSU rRNA". It matches the Rfam family "Bacterial small subunit ribosomal RNA", at positions 357 to 1376 of the family's 1533-position model. The record is from RNAcentral.